Molecule: ribosomal RNA, 468 nt
Filed under: uncultured bacterium
Lineage: Bacteria
Description: partial 16S ribosomal RNA
Rfam family: Bacterial small subunit ribosomal RNA
Source: RNAcentral
GACGAACGCUGGCGGCGUGCUUAACACAUGCCAGUCGAACGGAAAGGCCCUGCUUUUGUGGGGUGCUCGAGUGGCGAACGGGUGAGUAACACGUGAGUAACCUGCCCUUGACUUUGGGAUAACUUCAGGAAACUGGGGCUAAUACCGGAUAGGAGCUCCUGCUGCAUGGUGGGGGUUGGAAAGUUUCGGCGGUUGGGGAUGGACUCGCGGCUUAUCAGCUUGUUGGUGGGGUAGUUGCUUACCAAGGCAUUGACGGUUAGCCGGCCUGAGAGGGUGACCGGCCACAUUGGAACUAAGAGCAGGCGCAGACUCCAACGGGAGGCAGCAGUGGGGAAUAUUGCAGCAUGGGCGGAAGCCUGAUGCAGCAACGCCGCGUGCGGGAUGACGGCCUUCGGGUUGUAAACCGCUUUCGCCGGUGACGAAGCGUGAGUGACGGUAAUGGGUAAAGAAGCACCGGCUAACUACGUG